UACAGAGGGUGCAAGCGUUAAUCGGAAUUACUGGGCGUAAAGCGAACGUAGACGGUUGGAUAAGUCGGAUGUGAAAGCCCCGGGCUCAACCUGGGAAUUGCAUUCGAGACUGUUCAGCUAGGGUGCGGAAGAGGGAAGCGGAAUUUCCGGUGUAGCGGUGAAAUGCGUAGAUAUCAGCUGGAAUACCUGAGGCGAAGGCGCCUAUCUGGUGGUGUACUGACGCUGAGGCGCGAAAGCGUGGGGAGCAAACAGG
RNAcentral lists this ribosomal RNA (253 nucleotides) under uncultured prokaryote. RNAcentral's name for it is "partial 16S ribosomal RNA". It matches the Rfam family "Bacterial small subunit ribosomal RNA", at positions 524 to 776 of the family's 1533-position model. The record is from RNAcentral.